ACUGAAGAAGAAGAAGAAGAAGAAAAACAAAACAA
Molecule: small RNA, 35 nt
Filed under: Arabidopsis thaliana (thale cress)
Lineage: Eukaryota; Viridiplantae; Streptophyta; Magnoliopsida; Brassicales; Brassicaceae
Description: ATSL238610
Source: RNAcentral